CCACUGAUUUAUAUUAAAGGGCUGCAGUAUUUUGACUGUACAAAGGUAGCAUAAUCAUUAGUCUUUUAAUUGAAGACUUGUAUGAAGGAUUAGAUGAAAUAUAAACUGUCUCUUAUUUAAUUAUAGAAUUUAAUUUUUUAGUUAAAAAGCUAAAAUAAUUUUAAAAGACGAGAAGACCCUAUAGAGUUUUAUAUUUAUUUAUAAAUUAUAUUUAUAUAAAAUUUUAAUAUAAUUUAUAAAUAAAUAUUUUGUUGGGGUGAUAAAAAAAUUAAUAAAACUUUUUUUUAAAAAUAAACAAAGAUAAAUGAAUAAAUGAUCCAUAAGUAAUGAUUAUAAGAAAAAAUUACCUUAGGGAUAACAGCGUAAUAUUUUUUUUUAGUACAAAUAAAAAAAAAAGUUUGCGACCUCGAUGUUGGAUUAAGAUAAAAGUUAAAUGCAAAAGUUUAAAUUUUUGAUCUGUUC
RNAcentral lists this ribosomal RNA (462 nucleotides) under Callophrys polios. RNAcentral describes it as "partial 16S large subunit ribosomal RNA". The record is from RNAcentral. Lineage: Eukaryota; Metazoa; Arthropoda; Insecta; Lepidoptera; Lycaenidae.